AUUGAACGCUGGCGGCAGGCCUAACACAUGCAAGUCGAGCGGAUGAAGGGAGCUUGCUCCUGGCUUCAGCGGCGGACGGGUGAGUAAUGCCUAGGAAUCUGCCUGGUAGUGGGGGAUAACGUCCGGAAACGGGCGCUAAUACCGCAUACGUCCUGAGGGAGAAAGUGGGGGAUCUUCGGACCUCACGCUAUCAGAUGAGCCUAGGUCGGAUUAGCUAGUUGGUGGGGUAAAGGCCUACCACGGCGACGAUCCGUAACUGAUCUGAGAGGAUGAUCAGUCACACUGGAACUGAGACACGGUCCAGACUACUACGGGAGGCAGCAGUGGGGAAUAUUAGACAAUGGGCGAAAGCCUGAUCCGGCCAUGCCGCGUGUGUGAAGAAGGUCUUCGGAUUGUAAAGCACUUUAAGUUGGGAGGAAGGGCAGUAAGUUAAUACCUUGCUGUUUUGACGUUACCAACAGAAUAAGCACCGGCUAACUUCGUG
Molecule: ribosomal RNA, 484 nt
Filed under: uncultured bacterium
Lineage: Bacteria
Description: partial 16S ribosomal RNA
Rfam family: Bacterial small subunit ribosomal RNA
Source: RNAcentral